CACCUUCCUUUUCUCCUUUUCUCCUUUUCGUCCUCGUACAGGCACCAAAUAAAUACCAGAUCAAAACCUGCAUUUCUACCAAAAAUUCUUCGCAUUCUAACGAGAAAAUUUUCUGCUGAAAGCUCGGUACAAUUCCUUAAGCGCAAGGUACUGUGCUUCUGGGAGAUGUGAUCCAAAUUAAUCGUUUUGUAGAGUCAGAGACUUGAAAAUGGCUUCUAGAGCAAUAUUGAGGCGGCAGAAGAUUUUCUCUGACUAUUUGAAUGUUUUGGCUCGAUCUAUUCUAAGUUUUCAACACUUGGGUCACAGCCAAUCUACUCCUACUUUGGAGUCUUGUAGUUUUAGCUCUCUAGCAAGUAGUUGUUCUCAGUUUUCAGAUUGUUCAAGGGAUCAUAAUGAAGUUAAAGUCAGUAAUGAGGAAUUAUUAAAAUUCACAGCAUCAGGGAAGCUUUGGCGUAGAAGUAAUGGAAUCUUGCUGUCUGGUUAUGGAAAUAGAAAUUUGGAGCUUAUUUCGCCUACGGGAGUGAGGUUGAUGUCACAUUCAAUACGUUAUGCUUCUACAGCUACUGCAAAGCAACCUAAUUUGGGUAGUGAUGAUGAAGAGGAUGAGGAAAGGGUUUCAAAAAAGAGAAAAGAAGCUUCACCAGAGGAAUGCGAUGAAGCUGUAGUUGGUUUGAGUACGGCAAAGGCUAAAGCGAAAUCAAAGCGGUUGCAUGAAUCUCAGAAAGUUGCUAAGUCUGUUCUACAAAGAGUUUGGGCCACAUUUUUGGGAAUUGGCCCGGCUAUGAGAGCUGUGGCUUCAAUGAGCAGGGAGGACUGGGCUCAGAAACUUGUUCACUGGAAAAAUGAGUUCAAAUCAACACUGCAGCAUUACUGGUUGGGCACUAAGCUCCUUUGGGCCGAUGUGAGGAUCAGUUCAAGAUUGUUGUUGAAACUUGCAGGUGGGAAGAAUCUCUCUAGGAGGGAGAGGCAGCAACUUACACGGACCACUGCUGAUAUUUUUAGACUUGUUCCUUUUGCUGUUUUUAUUAUUGUGCCAUUCAUGGAAUUCUUGCUACCUGUAUUCCUGAAGCUAUUCCCAAAUAUGUUACCAUCAACAUUUCAAGACAAGAUGAAAGAAGAGGAAAAAUUGGUAAGAAGGCUCAAUGCGAGAAUAGAAUAUGCAAAAUUUCUUCAGGAUACUGCCAAAGAAAUGGCGAAGGAAGUUCAGAACUCACGUAGUGGAGAAACAAGAAAGACAGCAGCAGAUCUUGAUGAAUUUCUAAACAGGGUCAGAACAGGAACUGGUGUCUCUAAUGAGGAAAUCUUGGGUUUUGCUAAGUUGUUCAAUGAUGAACUCACGUUAGACAAUAUAAGCAGGCCUCGGCUAGUGAAUAUGUGCAAGUAUAUGGGAAUCAGUCCUUUUGGGACAGAUGCUUAUCUGCGUUUUAUGCUUCGGAAGAGACUGAAAAGCAUAAAGAAUGAUGAUAAAUUGAUUCAAGCGGAAGGUGUGGAGUCUCUAUCAGAGGCUGAACUCCGUGAGGACUGUAGAGAGCGUGGCAUGCUAGGACUGCUUUCAGUGGAGGAAAUGCGCCAACAGCUUCGUGACUGGUUAGAUUUGUCACUCAAUCACUCUGUGCCAUCUUCACUUUUGAUCCUUUCAAGAGCUUUUACUGUUUCUGGGAAGGUGAAGCCUGAGGAAGCAGUACGGGCUACAUUGUCUUCACUCCCUGAUGAAGUUGUGGAUACUGUGGGCACAGAAGACUCCGUUUCUGACAGGAGAAGAAAAUUAGAGUUCCUGGAGAUGGAAGAGGAGCUCAUCAAGGAGGAGGAAGAAAAAGAGGAAGAAGAGCUAGCCAGAAAGAAGGAAAGUGUUGGUAGUCGAGAGGAUGUGGCUUUGAAAGAGAUGACUAUUCCAACAGCUAGGGAAGCACAAGAACGAGCUAGAGCAAGAGCAUUAGACAAGCGAGACCAGCUUUGCGAAAUUAGUCGUGCAUUGGCUGUUUUAGCUGCUGCUUCUUCUGUGAGCAGAGAGCGUGAAGCAUUUCUGAGGCUUGUCAAUAAAGAGAUCGAACUUUACAACAGCAUGGUAGAUAAAGAAGGCACAGAGGCUGAAGCAGAAGCAAUGAAGGCAUAUAGAGCUGCUCGUGUUGAAACUGAAGAUGCUAAUGAAGCUGAUACAGACGAGGUUUCAUCUGCACUAAUUGACAAGGUUGAUGCCAUGCUACAGAACCUUGAGAAAGAAAUUGAUGAUGUGGAUGCACAGAUUGGUGAUCAUUGGCGAGUGCUUGACAGAGAUCAUGAUGGGAAAGUUACUCCGGAGGAGGUGGCAGCUGCAGCGAUGUACUUGAAAGAUACUUUAGGCAAAGAAGGGGUUCAAGAACUCAUUAGCAACCUUUCAAAAGAUAGAGAUGGAAAGAUUCUUGUCGAAGAUAUAGUGAAGUUGGGCGGUCGAGCUGAGGAGGAUAAUACAGCUGAAUCUGAAGGACUGUAGGGGAUAACUCCGCCAGUUUCUACUAAUGUGAAUAUGCUAAUACUUCAGGUUUUGUGACCCUGUUAACACAGUAAUGGAAAGCUUAACUUCUGCUGCUGAGCCUCUCUUCUUGAAUCUUUUGCAAUGACUAUCGCCCGCUGGUGACUCGUAUCUCUACAUGGGAGUUAAUACUUCCCAAGCCACAGUCGGGAACACUUCCCAAGCACUAAUCUAACUGAUGUGCUUCUGGGAGAUGUGAUCCAAUUAAUCGUUUUGUGGCGUCAGAGACUUGAAAAUGGCUUCUAGAGCAAUAUUGAGGCGGCAGAAGAUUUUCUCUGACUAUUUGAAUGUUUGGGCUCGAUCUAUUCUAAGUUUUCAACACUUGGGUCACAGCCAAUCUGCUCCUAAUUUGGAGUCUCGUAGUUUUAGCUCUCUAGCAACUAGUUGUUCUCAGUUUUCAGAUUGCUCAGGGGAUCAUAAUGAAGUUAAAGAAAUCUGCUGUCUGGCUAUGGAAAUAGAAAUUUGGAGCUUAUUUCUCCUAUUCAAUACGUUAUGCUUCUACAGUUGUGUACUUUCAUGAAAUUGAGUUUUUCAAUGCAGUUGUGUGACAUAUUUUACGUAGUCUAUUGUACAAUAAAAUUACUUUGUUGUACGCAUAAUUUCAGUCUUCAGCCAUAGUCAAUGGCAGUAGUACUUUUUGGUCCCAUUUCACUUCUUUAGAAGCAAGUUUGGACAGGACAGAUGAUGGGUUUUCAAGAAACCUGAACUUCUCUUGCAU
Non-coding RNA from Coffea arabica (coffee), 3227 nucleotides. Lineage: Eukaryota; Viridiplantae; Streptophyta; Magnoliopsida; Gentianales; Rubiaceae. The record is from RefSeq and is a predicted model, not a curated record.